Molecule: ribosomal RNA, 497 nt
Filed under: uncultured bacterium
Lineage: Bacteria
Description: partial 16S ribosomal RNA
Rfam family: Bacterial small subunit ribosomal RNA
Source: RNAcentral
GACGAACGCUGGCGGCGUGCCUAAUACAUGCAAGUUGAGCGCUGAAGGUUGGUACUUGUCCCAACUGGAUGGGCAGCGAACGGGUGAGUAACGCGUGGGGAAUCUGCCUUUGAGCGGGGGACAACAUUUGGAAACGAAUGCUAAUACCGCAUAAAAACUUUAAACACAAGUUUUAAGUUUGAAAGAUGCAAUUGCAUCACUCAAAGAUGAUCCCGCGUUGUAUUAGCUAGUUGGUGAGGUAAAGGCUCACCAAGGCGAUGAUACAUAGCCGACCUGAGAGGGUGAUCGGCCACAUUGGGACUGAGACACGGCCCAAACUCCUACGGGAGGCAGCAGUAGGGAAUCUUCGGCAAUGGACGAAAGUCUGACCGAGCAACGCCGCGUGAGGGAAGAAGGUUUUCGGAUCGUAAAACUCUGUUGGUAGAGAAGAACGUUGGUGAGAGUGGAAAGCUCAUCAAGUGACGGUAACUACCCAGAAAGGGACGGCUAACUACGUG